Molecule: ribosomal RNA, 741 nt
Filed under: uncultured Lachnospiraceae bacterium
Lineage: Bacteria; Bacillati; Bacillota; Clostridia; Lachnospirales; Lachnospiraceae
Description: bacterial SSU rRNA
Rfam family: Bacterial small subunit ribosomal RNA
Source: RNAcentral
GAUGAACGCUGGCGGCGUGCUUAACACAUGCAAGUCGAACGGGAAUUACUUUAUUGAAACUUCGGUGGAUUUAAUUUAAUUCUAGUGGCGGACGGGUGAGUAACGCGUGGGUAACCUGCCUUAUACAGGGGGAUAACAGUCAGAAAUGGCUGCUAAUACCGCAUAAGCGCACAGAGCUGCAUGGCUCAGUGUGAAAAACUCCGGUGGUAUAAGAUGGACCCGCGUUGGAUUAGCUUGUUGGUGGGGUAACGGCCCACCAAGGCGACGAUCCAUAGCCGGCCUGAGAGGGUGAACGGCCACAUUGGGACUGAGACACGGCCCAGACUCCUACGGGAGGCAGCAGUGGGGAAUAUUGCACAAUGGGGGAAACCCUGAUGCAGCGACGCCGCGUGAAGGAAGAAGUAUCUCGGUAUGUAAACUUCUAUCAGCAGGGAAGAUAGUGACGGUACCUGACUAAGAAGCCCCGGCUAACUACGUGCCAGCAGCCGCGGUAAUACGUAGGGGGCAAGCGUUAUCCGGAUUUACUGGGUGUAAAGGGAGCGUAGACGGUGUGGCAAGUCUGAUGUGAAAGGCAUGGGCUCAACCUGUGGACUGCAUUGGAAACUGUCAUACUUGAGUGCCGGAGGGGUAAGCGGAAUUCCUAGUGUAGCGGUGAAAUGCGUAGAUAUUAGGAGGAACACCAGUGGCGAAGGCGGCUUACUGGACGGUAACUGACGUUGAGGCUCGAAAGCGUGGGGAGCA